This 829-nucleotide long non-coding RNA is filed under the name Carassius auratus (goldfish). RNAcentral describes it as "lncRNA (ENSCARG00000024465.1)". The record is from RNAcentral. Lineage: Eukaryota; Metazoa; Chordata; Actinopteri; Cypriniformes; Cyprinidae.
AUGCACUUCUAUCCGACUGCGCACGGGGAAGAAAUAAUGAAGAACGUCGGCUCCGGUUGCGUCUGGCCUCGGGAGCGUCACGAUGCCAUGAAGUCAUUGCAAUCAUCUGGCCGUCUAGAUCCAGCGUUAGCGCUCUUUCUCCAAGCGAAAUCAGAUGUGAUGAAGUCACCCUCCUCAUCCUCGUCCAUUAGCAUCAAAACCUCUCAUCAUCACUGAACCUGACGGAUGGAAACCACAUGUUUGGAGCUUACACACUUCAGGAACGAUUUCCUGUAGGAGAAUAAGAGCGUGAGCAAUUUGUAAUCAUUUUAAAUGUUUUUAUGCAUUAGCUAAUGGCUGUGUGUUGAUAAGAUUGGAACAAAAUAUUUAAUGAAGCAAUGCAAAUUCAAUAUUCAUUUGUGCUUUUUUAAAUCAAUUUAUAUAUUCAUUUAUUAAUAUAUUCACACACACACACACACACACACACACACACACACACACACACACAUAUAUACACCAUAUACACACAUACACACACACACACACACACACACACACACACACACACACACACACACACAUACAUACACACACACACACACACACACACACAUAUAUAUAUAUGUAUAAAAUUCACUAAAUAAAAAUAUCUCUAUCUACUAAUUAUUUAAUUAAUAUUUUAUUACUUGUAAAAAAAAUUAUAUAUAUAAAAUAAAUAUAAAAUAUAUUGAUAAUAUAUUUAAUGUUUUUACAAUAAUAAUAAAACUAUUAAAACAUGAAAAUAUACAAAUACAACAUUAUAAAAACAAUAAUAUGGGUGUGUAUAUAUAAUAAAAUUGGAUUAAAUCGA